RNAcentral lists this ribosomal RNA (469 nucleotides) under uncultured bacterium. RNAcentral describes it as "partial 16S ribosomal RNA". It matches the Rfam family "Bacterial small subunit ribosomal RNA", at positions 28 to 507 of the family's 1533-position model. The record is from RNAcentral.
GACGAACGCUGGCGGCGUGCUUAACACAUGCAAGUCGAACGAAGAGGCGAGGACUUUCACUCGUGGAUCAGAGGCGCACGGGUGAGUAACACAUGAGUAACCUCCCCCUCACACACGGAUAAACCCUCGGGACAGUGUCUCAUACUGGGUACGACCUACUCAUGCACGUGGUUUUAUAGGGAAAGAUGAGCGGUCUUGGAUGGAUUGUAGGCUUAGCACCUUGUUGGCCGGUUAAUGGCGGACCAAGGCACCGACGGGUAGCCGGCCUGAGAGGGUGACCGGCCACAAUGCGACUGAGAGACGGCGCAGACGCCUACGGGACGCAGCAGUGGAGAGUAUUGCACAAUGGCGGAAAGCCUGAUGCAGCGACGCCGCGUGAGGGAUGACGGCCUUCGGGUGGUAAACCACUGUCAGAGGGGAUGAAGAGAUAGUGACGGUACCUGCACAGGAAGCCACGGCUAACUACGUG